GGUCUUGCCUGCCCAGUGACUCUUUAAACGGCCGCGGUAUCCUAACCGUGCAAAGGUAGCAUAAUCACUUGUCCCCUAAAUAGGGACUGGAAUGAAUGGCUAAAUGAGGACUAAACUGUCUCUUGUAGGUUGGCCAAUGAAAUUGAUAUCCCAGUACAAAAGCUGGAAUAAAUACAUAAGACGAGAAGACCCUGUGGAGCUUUAAAAUCAAGCCCACCAAAUAUGGCCCUUGAAUUUUCAGUUGGGGCGACUUUGGAGUAAAACAAAACCUCCAAGAAAACUUUUAUUAAGAUCAACACACCAAAAUAUUAAUACAGACCCAGCAAUACCCUAUCCAAUUGCCUGAUUAACGAACCAAGUUACCCCAGGGAUAACAGCGCCAUCCCCUUUUAGAGUCCUUAUCGACAAGGGGGUUUACGACCUCGAUGUUGGAUCAGGACACCCCAAUGGUGCAGCCGCCAUUAAAGGUUCGUUUGUUCAACGAUUAAUAGUCCUA
This 496-nucleotide ribosomal RNA is filed under the name Timon lepidus (ocellated lizard). RNAcentral describes it as "partial 16S ribosomal RNA". It matches the Rfam family "Bacterial large subunit ribosomal RNA", at positions 1851 to 2598 of the family's 2925-position model. Lineage: Eukaryota; Metazoa; Chordata; Lepidosauria; Squamata; Lacertidae. The record is from RNAcentral.